Molecule: ribosomal RNA, 374 nt
Filed under: uncultured bacterium
Lineage: Bacteria
Description: SSU rRNA
Rfam family: Bacterial small subunit ribosomal RNA
Source: RNAcentral
AGAACGAACGCUGGCGGCGUGGAUAAGACAUGCAAGUCGAACGCUGACAUUUAGGUAGCAAUAUUUGAAUGUCGGAGUGGCGCAAGGGUGCGUAACACGUGGGUAAUUUGCCGUGAAGUUUGGGAUAACUUGCUGAAAGGCGAGCUAAUACCGGAUGUGAAUUGUUGAAGGCAUCUUCGAAAAUUCAAAGUUGGGGACCGCAAGGCCUGACGCUUUACGAUAAGCCCGCGGCCUAUCAGCUAGUUGGUGAGGUAACGGCUCACCAAGGCUAAGACGGGUAGCUGGUCUGAGAGGACGACCAGCCUCACUGGAACUGAGACACGGUCCAGACCACCGUACGGGUGGCAGCAGUUUCGAAUCAUUCACAAGUGGGC